AUGAACGAGGUGAGUACUGUUCAAGGCCGCCUAAAGAAUGGGGGACCAGGAGACAGGGGCCCCCUCAUGCAGGGUCGGAAAUUAAACACAUGAAAUUGAGCCCCGGGUGGCUUUGCCAAAGAAAAGCAAGGUAGAUUAUGUGCUCAGCACAGCCCUGACAUGAAGGCAGGGCUGAUAAUCCAUCCCUUUUAUUCACACAGUAUGUCGUGGGCCACUUCCAGCUGAAGAAGAAAGCCUGACCUUUGGAGAGGGGCUAUAAAAAGACAGCCACAUUCACUCCUUCUUCCCCACAAUGCACCUUCCACAAAGGAAGACAAGUGAAGGAUCUCCAUGUUCAAGUGAAAGCAUCAGGUUGAAAAAAAAUGUUCAAGCAGACGGAGAGAUCGAACAAAUUGUACAGAGAACGCCCAUCUACCCACCAUUGAGAGUCUACCGUGAAUGUUUAACUUGACCUGCUUCCUCAUGUCUGUCCAUUCACCCACCUCUGUCUCACCCAUCAUUCUAGGUCACUUAAAAAAAAAAAAAAAAAAAANNNNNNN
RNAcentral lists this long non-coding RNA (539 nucleotides) under Mustela putorius furo (domestic ferret). RNAcentral's name for it is "lncRNA (ENSMPUG00000029856.1)". The record is from RNAcentral. Lineage: Eukaryota; Metazoa; Chordata; Mammalia; Carnivora; Mustelidae.